GCAAGUCGAACGGUAAAAGGCAAAGCUUGCUUUGCGCUGACGAGUGGCGGACGGGUGAGUAACGCGUAGAUAUCUGCCUAGUAGUGGGGGAUAGCCCGGAGAAAUCCGGAUUAAUACCGCAUACGCCCUACGGGGGAAAGAAGGCCUCUUCUUGAAAGCUUUCACUAUUAGAUGAGUCUGCGUCGGAUUAGCUUGUUGGUGAGGUAAUGGCUCACCAAGGCGACGAUCCGUAGCUGGUCUGAGAGGACGAUC
RNAcentral lists this ribosomal RNA (252 nucleotides) under uncultured bacterium. Its description in RNAcentral is "partial 16S ribosomal RNA". It matches the Rfam family "Bacterial small subunit ribosomal RNA", at positions 57 to 305 of the family's 1533-position model. The record is from RNAcentral.